RNAcentral lists this long non-coding RNA (306 nucleotides) under Volvox carteri. RNAcentral's name for it is "long non-coding RNA (VCAR_LNC000343)". Lineage: Eukaryota; Viridiplantae; Chlorophyta; Chlorophyceae; Chlamydomonadales; Volvocaceae. The record is from RNAcentral.
UUUCAACGAUUUCUAGGAUCGCCCUUUACAGCGCGCUUCAAGGUGCUGAACGGUACUGCCUACAAUGACGCAAAGGCAGGCACCUAUUUUGGGCCGGAAUACGUGAAAACCUUUGCCGAGAUGUUGGUUGUGGCAUCCUGUAAUAUCCUGGGCAUGUCAGGGGAUCUGCAUCGGUCAAUCGGUUCUUUUCUGAGGUCGUGAUAUGACACAUCUCGGCUUUACUAGCUUCCGAUUAUAGACUCCGGCAGCGACAGAUGACAAGGGCUUGCACUCCAUUCCUGAGGUGAAGAAAGCAGUAAAUUUAUU